UGGCCCUACGGGAGGCAGCAGUCGGGAAUAUUGCGCAAUGGAGGAAACUCUGACGCAGUGACGCCGCGUAUAGGAAGAAGGUUUUCGGAUUGUAAACUAUUGUCGUUAGGGAAGAUAAAAGACUGUACCUAAGGAGGAAGCCCCGGCUAACUAUGUGCCAGCAGCCGCGGUAAUACAUAGGGGGCAAGCGUUAUCCGGAAUUAUUGGGCGUAAAGGGAGCGUAGACGGCAGCGCAAGUCUGAAGUGAAAUCCCAUGGCUUAACCAUGGAACUGCUUUGGAAACUGUGCAGCUGGAGUGCAGGAGG
RNAcentral lists this ribosomal RNA (305 nucleotides) under uncultured bacterium. RNAcentral's name for it is "bacterial SSU rRNA". It matches the Rfam family "Bacterial small subunit ribosomal RNA", at positions 333 to 655 of the family's 1533-position model. The record is from RNAcentral.